UUAUUAAGGUUGUCCUCGUCAUUACAACGAGUACUUGUACAUUCUAUUAAACAUUGUUUUAAAAAAAUGGUAUUAGAGUUGUAAAAACUCUAUUAGGUUCACAGGUGUAUAAUGGAUAGAGAAGAAGAGUUUCUUAAGAAACUACAAAUUCAAUAAUGAUCCUUCCGCAGGUUCACCUACGGAAA
Molecule: unclassified non-coding RNA, 185 nt
Filed under: uncultured fungus
Lineage: Eukaryota; Fungi
Description: sequence contains ITS1
Source: RNAcentral